GAUGAACGCUGGCGGCGUGCCUAAUACAUGCAAGUCGAGCGGACAGACGCGGAUCUUGCUCCGCUGUCGUUAGCCGCACACGGGAGUGUCACACGUGUAUCCCCUACCUAUAUGACUGGUAUCACUUCGAGAAUCCGGAUCUUAUACCAUAUAAUAUAUUGAUCCACAUUGUUCAAUAGUAAAAUUCGGUUGUUCUGUCACUUAUCGAUGGAUCCGCGCCGGAUUAGCUAGUUGGUAAGGUAACGGCCUACCAAGGCGACGAUGCGUAGCCGACCUGAGAGGGUGAUCGGCCACACUGGAACUGAGACAGGGUCCAUACGACUACGGGAGGCCGCAGACGGGAAUGUUACGCAAUGGGCGAGAGCAUGACGGAGCAAGGCCGCGUGAGUGAUGAAGGUCUUCGGAUCGUAAAACCCUGUAACUAGGGAAGAACAACUGUGGAAGUAACCAAGCACGGAGUGACGGUAAUUAAUAAGAAAGCAACGGCUAACUACGUG
RNAcentral lists this ribosomal RNA (497 nucleotides) under uncultured bacterium. Its description in RNAcentral is "partial 16S ribosomal RNA". It matches the Rfam family "Bacterial small subunit ribosomal RNA", at positions 28 to 507 of the family's 1533-position model. The record is from RNAcentral.